RNAcentral lists this non-coding RNA (24 nucleotides) under Arabidopsis thaliana (thale cress). Lineage: Eukaryota; Viridiplantae; Streptophyta; Magnoliopsida; Brassicales; Brassicaceae. The record is from RNAcentral.
GAACAAAAUCUGGUCAUGUGGUUA